UUUUGAUACGAGUUUUAAUACAAGUUGUACUACAAGUUUUGAUACAAGUUUGAUACAAGUUUUAUGUAAUAUAAGAGAAUCAUAAAAAGGAAUAAUAAUGCAGUUACCUAAUAGUGAAAGCAGUUAAUCAGACCGAUAUUACAACUUGUUCGAGAUUACAGUUGUGGCAACGAGAGUUGUAGCCACCAGAGUACAACAAGAUUUUAUAGUAGCAGCAAAAGAGAAGAAAAGGAAACAACUUCGAGUUCAGAGAAACAAAGCAAAAGAGAUAACUAUCUAAAGAAGCAAAGAGAGAUACUUAAACUGAAACACAAGAACCCGUGACUUGGCUCACAUGCGGUACUACAACUUUCACAACUCCGUGACUUCGUCCUUUUGAGUUACUGCUGAACAUGAAACAACACAAAUGAUGAGAGUUAGUAUAAAGCAGAAAAGGACAACGCACAAAAGCAGACCGCACAUGUAACAAAAGCAAUACGCACAUGUAACUAAAGCAACUACCCAAUACACACAUUAAAACCUUACUAUCAUCCUAACAUCUCAGCCAUAAGUUUCAGUUUUAGAGAUGACUCCAUCUCAGAGAGAGGAUCUUUCUUGGCAAGUAAACGAUCCAGAAUUUUCUGCUUUUGAAGUUUAUCCUUCUUCUCUAAUAUGGCCUGUAGCUGUGACAUCUCUUCUUCCUUGCCAUUCUUCUUCCUCUUCCCAGCAGCUUUAGCAGCUUUGACACCCAUUGGUCUAGCCUCAGGUUCUCCAACUUCAUCUUCUCUAUCAACGUCCACAACAUGUUUUCGCUUGUCUUUCCCACCGUCUUUAGAAACAUGGGUUGAGCACCAUUUCUGGUCAUUCCUC
This 849-nucleotide long non-coding RNA is filed under the name Brassica napus (rape). RNAcentral's name for it is "long non-coding RNA (BNAP_LNC002077)". Lineage: Eukaryota; Viridiplantae; Streptophyta; Magnoliopsida; Brassicales; Brassicaceae. The record is from RNAcentral.